ACUGAAACAUCUAAGUACCCUGAGGAAAAGAAAUCAACCGAGAUUCCCUUAGUAGUGGCGAGCGAACGGGGACUAGCCCUUAAGUGGCUUUGAGAUUAGCGGAACGCUCUGGAAAGUGCGGCCAUAGUGGGUGAUAGCCCUGUACGCGAAAGUCUCUUAGUCAUGAAAUCGAGUAGGACGGAGCACGAGAAACUUUGUCUGAAUAUGGGGGGACCAUCCUCCAAGGCUAAAUACUACUGACUGACCGAUAGUGAACUAGUACCGUGAGGGAAAGGCGAAAAGAACCCCGGAGAGGGGAGUGAAAUAGAUCCUGAAACCGUAUGCGUACAAGCAGUGGGAGCAGACUUUGUUCUGUGACUGCGUACCUUUUGUAUAAUGGGUCAGCGACUUAUUUUCAGUGGCGAGCUUAACCGAAUAGGGGAGGCGUAGCGAAAGCGAGUCUUAAUAGGGCGUCUAGUCGCUGGGAAUAGACCCGAAACCGGGCGAUCUAUCCAUGGGCAGGUUGAAGGUUAGGUAACACUGACUGGAGGACCGAACCGACUACCGUUGAAAAGUUAGCGGAUGACCUGUGGAUCGGAGUGAAAGGCUAAUCAAGCUCGGAGAUAGCUGGUUCUCCUCGAAAGCUAUUUAGGUAGCGCCUCAUGUAUCACUGUAGGGGGUAGAGCACUGUUUCGGCUAGGGGGUCAUCCCGACUUACCAAACCGAUGCAAACUCCGAAUACCUACAAGUGCCGAGCAUGGGAGACACACGGCGGGUGCGAACGUCCGUCGUGAAAAGGGAAACAACCCAGACCGUCAGCUAAGGUCCCAAAGUUAUGGUUAAGUGGGAAACGAUGUGGGAAGGCUUAGACAGCUAGGAGGUUGGCUUAGAAGCAGCCACCCUUUAAAGAAAGCGUAAUAGCUCACUAGUCGAGUC
This 915-nucleotide ribosomal RNA is filed under the name Bacillus cereus. Its description in RNAcentral is "bacterial LSU rRNA". It matches the Rfam family "Bacterial large subunit ribosomal RNA", at positions 192 to 1155 of the family's 2925-position model. Lineage: Bacteria; Bacillati; Bacillota; Bacilli; Caryophanales; Bacillaceae. The record is from RNAcentral.